RNAcentral lists this transfer RNA (58 nucleotides) under Perkinsus olseni. RNAcentral describes it as "tRNA-Arg". It matches the Rfam family "tRNA", at positions 8 to 62 of the family's 71-position model. Rfam says of the family: Transfer RNA (tRNA) molecules are approximately 80 nucleotides in length. The record is from RNAcentral. Lineage: Eukaryota; Perkinsozoa; Perkinsida; Perkinsidae.
UGGCUCAAUCGGAUAGAGCGUUGGACUUCUAAUCCAAAGGUUGCGGGUUCAAGUCCCG